UACGUAGGGGGCAAGCGUUAUCCGGAUUUACUGGGUGUAAAGGGUGCGUAGGUGGUAUGGCAAGUCAGAAGUGAAAACCCGGGGCUCAACCCCGCGGAUUGCUUUUGAAACUGUCAGACUGGAGUACCGGAGAGGUAAGCGGAAUUCCUAGUGUAGCGGUGAAAUGCGUAGAUAUUAGGAGGAACACCAGUGGCGAAGGCGGCUUACUGGACGGUAACUGACACUGAGGCACGAAAGCGUGGGGAGCAAACAGG
RNAcentral lists this ribosomal RNA (254 nucleotides) under uncultured bacterium. RNAcentral's name for it is "partial 16S ribosomal RNA". It matches the Rfam family "Bacterial small subunit ribosomal RNA", at positions 524 to 776 of the family's 1533-position model. The record is from RNAcentral.